RNAcentral lists this ribosomal RNA (427 nucleotides) under uncultured bacterium. RNAcentral's name for it is "partial 16S ribosomal RNA". It matches the Rfam family "Bacterial small subunit ribosomal RNA", at positions 355 to 774 of the family's 1533-position model. The record is from RNAcentral.
UGGGGAAUAUUGCACAAUGGGCGCAAGCCUGAUGCAGCCAUGCCGCGUGUGUGAAGAAGGCCUUCGGGUUGUAAAGCACUUUCAGCGAGGAGGAAGGGUAGUGUGUUAAUAGCACAUUGCAUUGACGUUACUCGCAGAAGAAGCACCGGCUAACUCCGUGCCAGCAGCCGCGGUAAUACGGAGGGUGCAAGCGUUAAUCGGAAUUACUGGGCGUAAAGCGCACACAGGCGGUUUGUUAAGUCAGAUGUGAAAUCCCCGCGCUUAACGUGGGAACUGCAUUUGAAACUGGCAAGCUAGAGUCUUGUAGAGGGGGGUAGAAUUCCAGGUGUAGCGGUGAAAUGCGUAGAGAUCUGGAGGAAUACCGGUGGCGAAGGCGGCCCCCUGGACAAAGACUGACGCUCAGGUGCGAAAGCGUGGGGAGCAAACA